Long non-coding RNA from Daphnia pulicaria, 597 nucleotides. RefSeq lists it as uncharacterized. Lineage: Eukaryota; Metazoa; Arthropoda; Branchiopoda; Diplostraca; Daphniidae. The transcript has 3 exons. The record is from RefSeq and is a predicted model, not a curated record.
GGCCGCGUAUCAACCAUCAUCCUAUUUAUAAGUUGCAGAAUUCAAAAAUGGUGCGCUGGGAAGGAAAAUAUUAUAACGUAGACGGCACUGGGAAUGUCAAAGACCCUCUACUCUUUUUGAUAGUCAACAGUCCUAUUCAUACAGCAAGUGCUCGUGGUUCCCAUGACCGUCUUUUUUCCAUACCGACUAACUGGAUGAGCGACGACAAUUUGAAGGUUAGAGGAAUCAAUUUUUGGGAAUGGAGUUUAAUAACAUUCAAAAAAAGAAGGUUUCCGGAAUCCAGCUGGACCGAGCUUCAAAUUUCCGACUUUUUAACAGAAGUGUACUUCCCAAAAUCAUUUGAAGAUUCGAAAAAUGAGAUCUCGUCCAUAUUUUAAUCUAUCUCCGGUGGAAUCAAUUAUGAUUUAAAAGACCUACUACAACUCGGGAAUACUCCGAAGCGUAAAACCACCAGCCCAGGAAACACCAAAGCCAGUGGAGAAGAGGAAAAACAAAAAUGAAGUUGACUUAGCUUCUCCUAAUCAUGUAUCUUUGAGCAAGAGAUUGGAUAACACGUCCACUCCUAUAUUGCCGAUCAAAAAUUUUCAGAAUCGAAUG